UCGAGUUGUUUGGGAAUGCAGCUCUAAAUGGGAGGUAAAUUUCUUCUAAAGCUAAAUAUUGGCGAGAGACCGAUAGCGCACAAGUAGAGUGAUCGAAAGAUGAAAAGCACUUUGGAAAGAGAGUUAAAAAGCACGUGAAAUUGUUGAAAGGGAAGCGCUUGCAAUCAGACUUGUUUAAACUGUUCGGCCGGUCUUCUGACCGGUUUACUCAGUUUGGACAGGCCAGCAUCAGUUUCGGCGGCCGGAUAAAGGCAUUGGGAAUGUGGCCUCCACUUCGGUGGAGGUGUUAUAGCCCAGUGUGUAAUACGGCCAGCCGGGACUGAGGUCCGCGCUUCGGCUAGGAUGCUGGCGUAAUGGUUGUAAGCGACCC
RNAcentral lists this ribosomal RNA (370 nucleotides) under Aureobasidium pullulans. Its description in RNAcentral is "partial large subunit ribosomal RNA". It matches the Rfam family "Eukaryotic large subunit ribosomal RNA", at positions 265 to 650 of the family's 3401-position model. The record is from RNAcentral. Lineage: Eukaryota; Fungi; Ascomycota; Dothideomycetes; Dothideales; Saccotheciaceae.